This 1426-nucleotide ribosomal RNA is filed under the name Escherichia coli. RNAcentral's name for it is "partial 23S ribosomal RNA". It matches the Rfam family "Bacterial large subunit ribosomal RNA", at positions 315 to 1746 of the family's 2925-position model. Lineage: Bacteria; Pseudomonadati; Pseudomonadota; Gammaproteobacteria; Enterobacterales; Enterobacteriaceae. The record is from RNAcentral.
AAUCAGUGUGUGUGUUAGUGGAAGCGUCUGGAAAGGCGCGCGAUACAGGGUGACAGCCCCGUACACAAAAAUGCACAUACUGUGAGCUCGAUGAGUAGGGCGGGACACGUGGUAUCCUGUCUGAAUAUGGGGGGACCAUCCUCCAAGGCUAAAUACUCCUGACUGACCGAUAGUGAACCAGUACCGUGAGGGAAAGGCGAAAAGAACCCCGGCGAGGGGAGUGAAAAAGAACCUGAAACCGUGUACGUACAAGCAGUGGGAGCACGCUUAGGCGUGUGACUGCGUACCUUUUGUAUAAUGGGUCAGCGACUUAUAUUCUGUAGCAAGGUUAACCGAAUAGGGGAGCCGAAGGGAAACCGAGUCUUAACUGGGCGUUAAGUUGCAGGGUAUAGACCCGAAACCCGGUGAUCUAGCCAUGGGCAGGUUGAAGGUUGGGUAACACUAACUGGAGGACCGAACCGACUAAUGUUGAAAAAUUAGCGGAUGACUUGUGGCUGGGGGUGAAAGGCCAAUCAAACCGGGAGAUAGCUGGUUCUCCCCGAAAGCUAUUUAGGUAGCGCCUCGUGAAUUCAUCUCCGGGGGUAGAGCACUGUUUCGGCAAGGGGGUCAUCCCGACUUACCAACCCGAUGCAAACUGCGAAUACCGGAGAAUGUUAUCACGGGAGACACACGGCGGGUGCUAACGUCCGUCGUGAAGAGGGAAACAACCCAGACCGCCAGCUAAGGUCCCAAAGUCAUGGUUAAGUGGGAAACGAUGUGGGAAGGCCCAGACAGCCAGGAUGUUGGCUUAGAAGCAGCCAUCAUUUAAAGAAAGCGUAAUAGCUCACUGGUCGAGUCGGCCUGCGCGGAAGAUGUAACGGGGCUAAACCAUGCACCGAAGCUGCGGCAGCGACGCUGAUGCGUUGUUGGGUAGGGGAGCGUUCUGUAAGCCUGUGAAGGUGUGCUGUGAGGCAUGCUGGAGGUAUCAGAAGUGCGAAUGCUGACAUAAGUAACGAUAAAGCGGGUGAAAAGCCCGCUCGCCGGAAGACCAAGGGUUCCUGUCCAACGUUAAUCGGGGCAGGGUGAGUCGACCCCUAAGGCGAGGCCGAAAGGCGUAGUCGAUGGGAAACAGGUUAAUAUUCCUGUACUUGGUGUUACUGCGAAGGGGGGACGGAGAAGGCUAUGUUGGCCGGGCGACGGUUGUCCCGGUUUAAGCGUGUAGGCUGGUUUUCCAGGCAAAUCCGGAAAAUCAAGGCUGAGGCGUGAUGACGAGGCACUACGGUGCUGAAGCAACAAAUGCCCUGCUUCCAGGAAAAGCCUCUAAGCAUCAGGUAACAUCAAAUCGUACCCCAAACCGACACAGGUGGUCAGGUAGAGAAUACCAAGGCGCUUGAGAGAACUCGGGUGAAGGAACUAGGCAAAAUGGUGCCGUAACUUCGGGAGAAGG